Molecule: long non-coding RNA, 344 nt
Organism: Oncorhynchus nerka (sockeye salmon)
Lineage: Eukaryota; Metazoa; Chordata; Actinopteri; Salmoniformes; Salmonidae
Exons: 3
Source: RefSeq, a predicted model, not a curated record
UGCCUGAAAGACCUGGACGUAACUUCACAAGUGCACUUCUUCAUAAAAUGCCUUCUCAACAACCAGCGCACUUCACUGGGUAACUUUAUCCCAGUAUGCUAAGGCACCCCCGGUUCCAUCGGUGGCAGCCCCCGGACCCGAAGUCACCACCACCAACCGAAAUGCCAGCACUUCCCAAUGUUUCAUUUGAUGGCUGCUGCAUUCUGUAAGAACCGAAGCAGGGCUACCACUGACCGGAUGUCGCACCGUUCUCGGUAAACCCUAGACACUGUCAUGCGUGAAAAGCCCAGGAGGCCUGCUGUUUCUGAGAUGAUGGAAUUGGCGCGCCUGGUAUCCGGGAGCGU